UCCGAGUUGACCCCGGCAGUCUCCUACGAGUCCCCGGCAUAACCCGCUGGCAGCACAGGACAAGGGUUGCGCUCGUUGCGGGACUUAACCCAACAUCUCACGACACGAGCUGACGACAGCCAUGCAGCACCUGUGUUCAGGCUCCCUUUCGGGCACAUCCACCUCUCAGCGGACUUCCUGACAUGUCAAGGGUAGGUAAGGUUUUUCGCGUUGCAUCGAAUUAAUCCACAUCAUCCACCGCUUGUGCGGGUCCCCGUCAAUUCCUUUGAGUUUUAAUCUUGCGACCGUACUCCCCAGGCGGGAUGCUUAAUGCGUUAGCUGCGCCACCGAACAGCAAGCUGUCCGACGGCUAGCAUCCAUCGUUUACGGCGUGGACUAC
RNAcentral lists this unclassified non-coding RNA (379 nucleotides) under uncultured Pseudomonadota bacterium. Its description in RNAcentral is "uncultured proteobacterium contains 16S-23S intergenic spacer region". Lineage: Bacteria; Pseudomonadati; Pseudomonadota. The record is from RNAcentral.